GCCGCUGCCCAUUUGCUCCUGCGUAGGCAGGCUUCUCCACCCCUGAGGUGACUACAGCAAUCCGACAUUCAAAGACUGCUGGUUUCUCUGGAUGUGACCUUCCCUUUGAGGCCUGCUGGUUUUAAAAAGGAAUUCAAAUGACGUUUCCUAUGAUACAAAAGAAUCCACUUGUCACUUCCCAGAGGAAGCCAAGGACACUGGCUUUCACCUUGGGGAUGAAAUGCAGAUUUCGUUAAAAGGAGACGAAAGAUCCUUCAUUCCGAAAGGAUGAAUAGAAGAGACCUUAAAGCAAAAUGCCAGCUGCUUAAGUUUAGAGCAUCGAAUUCGGCAAGGGCCUCAAGGUCAGCCAGAGACGAGAGAUCAGGGUCUCCCCAGGAAUAUGUGUACGUGCCCGCAGUUUGGUUACCCAUUCGCCAACUGAAGGACAUUUGGGCUGUUACCAGUUUGGGGCUACUGGGAAUAAA
Manis pentadactyla (Chinese pangolin) is the source of this 464-nucleotide long non-coding RNA. RefSeq lists it as uncharacterized. NCBI's taxonomy places the organism in Eukaryota, Metazoa, Chordata, Mammalia, Pholidota, Manidae. The transcript is spliced from 3 exons. The record is from RefSeq and is a predicted model, not a curated record.